RNAcentral lists this ribosomal RNA (450 nucleotides) under uncultured bacterium. RNAcentral's name for it is "partial 16S ribosomal RNA". It matches the Rfam family "Bacterial small subunit ribosomal RNA", at positions 354 to 796 of the family's 1533-position model. The record is from RNAcentral.
GUGGGGAAUUUUGGACAAUGGGCGCAAGCCUGAUCCAGCAAUGCCGCGUGUGUGAAGAAGGCCUUCGGGUUGUAAAGCACUUUUGGCAGGAAAGAAAUAGUGCGUGCUAAUACCAUGCGCGAACGACGGUACCUGCAGAAUAAGCACCGGCUAACUACGUGCCAGCAGCCGCGGUAAGACGUAGGGUGCAAGCGUUAAUCGGAAUUACUGGGCGUAAAGCGUGCGCAGGCGGUUUUGUAAGACAGGUGUGAAAUCCCCGGGCUCAACCUGGGAACUGCACUUGUGACUGCAAGGCUAGAGUGUGUCAGAGGGAGGUGGAAUUCCGCGUGUAGCAGUGAAAUGCGUAGAGAUGCGGAGGAACACCGAUGGCGAAGGCAGCCUCCUGGGAUAACACUGACGCUCAGGCACGAAAGCGUGGGGAGCAAACAGGAUUAGAUACCCGAGUAGUCC